This 500-nucleotide ribosomal RNA is filed under the name uncultured bacterium. RNAcentral describes it as "bacterial SSU rRNA". It matches the Rfam family "Bacterial small subunit ribosomal RNA", at positions 28 to 507 of the family's 1533-position model. The record is from RNAcentral.
GACGAACGCUGGCGGCGUGCCUAAUACAUGCAAGUCGAGCGGAAUGAAGAAGAAGCUUGCUUCUUCUGAUUUUAGCGGCGGACGGGUGAGUAACACGUGGGCAACCUACCUUGUAGAUUGGGAUAACUCCGGGAAACCGGGGCUAAUACCGAAUAAUCCAUUUUGCUUCAUGGCGAGAUGUUAAAAGGCGGCUUCGGCUGUCACUACGAGAUGGGCCCGCGGCGCAUUAGCUAGUUGGUAGGGUAAUGGCCUACCAAGGCGACGAUGCGUAGCCGACCUGAGAGGGUGAUCGGCCACACUGGAACUGAGACACGGCCCAGACUCCUACGGGAGGCAGCAGUAGGGAAUCUUCCACAAUGGACGAAAGUCUGAUGGAGCAACGCCGCGUGAGUGAAGAAGGUUUUCGGAUCGUAAAACUCUGUUGUAAGGGAAGAACACGUACGAGAGUAACUGCUCGUACCUUGACGGUACCUUAUUAGAAAGCCACGGCUAACUACGUG